RNAcentral lists this ribosomal RNA (365 nucleotides) under uncultured Parvimonas sp. Its description in RNAcentral is "partial 16S ribosomal RNA". It matches the Rfam family "Bacterial small subunit ribosomal RNA", at positions 28 to 374 of the family's 1533-position model. Lineage: Bacteria; Bacillati; Bacillota; Tissierellia; Tissierellales; Peptoniphilaceae. The record is from RNAcentral.
GAUGAACGCUGGCGGCGCGCCUAACACAUGCAAGUCGAACGAUUAAAGCACCUUCGGGUGUGUAUAAAGUGGCGAACGGCUGAGUAACACGUGGGCAACCUGCCCCUCUCCUUGGGAUAGCCCCGAGAAAACGUGGAUAAUACCAAAUCCCUACUGACUUCCCCAUGGAAUACUCGACAAUUCUUCGGUGGAGAGGGCAGCUGCCCCCCCCCCAUGGCCCUCUGGUUUGAGUAAAGGACCGAAGGGGACAAUCUUUUCUAGGCGACGAUAAAUAAACCCUGCCUGGGAGGGCGGGGGCUGGCACUCUGAACUGAACCCCCCUCCUACCUCCUUUUGGUUGCUUCCGGUUUGUUUUUCUUUUUUGG